CACAUGAUUCUUCCCCCUUCCAUGAUUCCAGUGGCCAAUAGGAAUUCUAAUUGGAACAGACAAAAACCCAAUACAUGUUUAAGCAGUAAAGUAUUCAUCAGGUCACAAAAAGAGGAGCAAGAGGAGCUGACUCUUUAUGUCAUAUCUUGGCCUUGUAAUUUGAUUCUUUGCCAACAUGCAUGGUUUUUCUCCAUAGGCUGUGCAUUGGGACAAACUACAAUAAAGCCAUGCCCUGACUGGAUGUGCCUAACAUUUGUCUGGUGCUUAAAGGAGUUGGCUGCAUGCGUGGGAUGGAGAAGGAUUCAACAUUUAAUGGCAGUUAGAAUCAAAUUUUUAACUCAAGAAGGCAGAAGGAAUCCACCUAAAUAAAUGUUGGAAAGUCACCAAAAAUAGUUCUCCAAGUCAGAAGCGGUGCAAAAGCUGCCUCAGCUCUUGGUGGAUUUUCAAUUUCUCCCAGCCAUCUCUGUUUCGCUAAAGGUUUCUGAAGACAGUGGGUAUGUGGCAAACUUCUGCAAUUCUAUAUUAAGAUAAACUGUUAGAUCAAUUA
This 547-nucleotide long non-coding RNA is filed under the name Homo sapiens (human). Its description in RNAcentral is "non-protein coding LINC01192:8". Lineage: Eukaryota; Metazoa; Chordata; Mammalia; Primates; Hominidae. The record is from RNAcentral.